GGGGCGCCACUUUAGAAAUUUUUGAAACUCAGUCCUGCACAAUGCACAAACGAGCAUUACCACACAGCAAUCCAAACCAACACAAUAUUCAUAAGUUAAAGCACAUCCUGAAGCAUGGCUCUAAUAACAUGCACUACAUAGAAACAGAAAGGAAUCACAAUACUAAAUACUAAGAAACUUAUUCACAUACUAUCAUAUUAUGCAGAACACAGUUUCUGCCCUAUAAACUACAGACACUAACUAAAUAAGCAAAAUGAAACGAAGGUAAAAAAAAUGAAAACAAUUUGUUGAUACUGAGAUGGGGAUGCCUCCCAUCAAGCGCUUGAUUUAGAGUCGUCGGCUUGACUAUUCUCCCGUCUUACACCGUGUCUCCCAAUGUAAUGGAGGUAUUCUGACGGUCGACCUCGCCGCCCCAGUAGUGUUUUAACCUUUGCCCAUUGACUUUGAAGGUAGUGUCGGAAUUCGGGUCCUCAACCUCUAUUGCCCCAUAGGGAUAAACCUUGCAAUUGUGAAGGGCCCCGACCAUCGGGACUUUAGCUUCCCAGGAAAUAACUUUAGACGGGAAUUGAACAGAAGAACCUUCUGGCCCGGUUCAAAGUGUCUAUCAAGGAUUUUCUUGUCAUGCCACCUCUUGGUCUUCUCCUUGUACAACUUAGCGUUUUCAUACGCUUGCAGACGAAACUCAUCUGAUUCAUUCAGUUGCAAUAGCCGCUUUUCACUGGCUGCCUCAAGAUCAAAGUUGAGCUUUUGAAUAGCCCAGUAUGCAUUGUGCUCCAAUUCAACUGGGAGAUGACAUGCCUUACCAUAAACAAGCCUAUAUGGAGACAUUCCGAUAGGCGUUUUAUAAGGUGUGCUAUAUGCCCAUAAUGCAUCAUCAAGCUUCUUAGACCAGCCCUUACGGUUUGGGUUAACAAUCUUUUCCAAGAUUCGUUUCACCUCCCGAUUCGAAAUUUCAGCUUGACCGCUGGUCUGUGGGUGGUAGGCAGUGGCUAUCUUAUGGGUCACCCCAUACUUGGCUAGGAGGGCUUCAAAGUAUUUGUUACAAAAGUACGACCCUUCAUCGCUGAUGAUAGCCCGAGGUGUGCCGAAAUUGGUGAAAAUAUUCUUCUUUAGGAACUGAAGCACCACCUUAGCAUCAUUAGUCGGCAAGGCAACUGCUUCCACCCACUUUUAGACAUAAUCCACUGCCACAAGGAUGUAGAGAUUGUUAAAGGAGGAUGGGAAUGGUCCCAUGAAGUCGAUUCCCCAUACAUCAAAUAACUCGACUUCCAGGAUGUUUUGCAGUGGUAACUCAUGCCGUCUUGAUAUAGUGCCUACCCGUUGGCAUCUGUCACAGUGCAUCACAUAUGCGUGUGCAUCUUUGAAUAGGGUAGGCCAAUAAAAUCCUGACUGAAGCACCUUAGCAGCAGUUCGUUGACCUCCAAAAUGACCCCCAUAGUUUGAUGAGUGGCAAUGAUGUAGCACACCUUCAGUUUCUUCUUCCGGCAAACAUCUACGCAGAAUCUGAUCGGAACAUUGCUUGAACAGGAAGGGCUCAUCCCACAAAUAUUGCUUGGCAUCCUUAAGGAAUUUCUUCCUUUGUUGAUAACUCAGAUUUUGGGGAAGCACUUGGCAAGCAACGUAGUUAGCGAAAUCUGCAUACCACGGAACUUUACCAUUGACAACAACAAAAAGUUGCUCGUCCGGGAAGAAGUCAUUUAUGGCUUUGUCGGCAUCUCCCGAGGGCGUGGUGUUUUCCAAUCUUGACAAGUGAUCGGCAACCUGAUUUUCUGUCCCCUUCUUAUCUCGGAUUUCCAAGUCAAACUCCUGGAGAAGCAGAACCCACCGUAUCAAUCUCGGCUUAACAUCCUUCUUUUCUAUCAAGUACUUUAUUGCCGAGUGAUCGGUGUAUACAAUCACCUUCGUUCCAAUGAGGUAGGAACGGAACUUGUCAAAAACAUAGACUACUGCCAGCAAUUCCUUCUCAGUGGUGGUAUAAUUUAACUGAGCAUCAGUUAAUGUCUUGCUCGCAUAGUAAAUGGUGUGGAAAACCUUCUCCCUUCUUUGACCCAACACUGCCCCAAUAGCGAAGUCGCUGGCAUCACACAUUAGUUCAAAGGGGUAGGUCUAGUCUGGAGCUAUCACUAUAGGUGCCGUGACGAGUCUUUUCUUUAAUAAGUCAAAGGCGCUCAAGCAGGCCUCAUCAAACUGGAAUGGCAUGUCCUUCUCCAAUAGUGUGCACAAUGGUUUUGUAAUCCGUGAGAAGUCCUUAAUGAACCGUCUGUAGAAACUGGCAUGUCCGAGAAAACUCCUCACCCCUUUCACUGAGUUGGGCGGAGGCAGGUUAUUGAUCACAUCUAUUUUGUCCUUGUCAACCUCAAUUCCGCCUGCAGAAACCCGAUGGCCCAAAAUAAUGCCCUCUUCAACCAUGAAGUGACAUUUUUCCCAAUUCAGCACCAGGUUGGUUUCGACACAUCGAUGGAGAACAGCAGUCAGAUUUGUUUAGCAGUUUUCAAAAGAGCUCCCAAACACUGAGAAGUCGUCCAUGAAGACCUCCAAGGUCUUUUCAACCAUGUCAGAGAAGAUCGACAUCAUACACCGCUGAAAUGUUGCGGGAGCAUUACAUAACCCGAAAGACAUUUUCCGGAAGGCGAAGGUCCCAUACGGACAUGUGAAUGUCGUCUUCUCCUGAUCUUCAGGAGCAAUCGAAAUCUGAUUAUACCCCGAGUAUCCAUCAAGCAGACAAUAAUAUUCGUGCCCAGCCAACCGGUCAAGCAUCUGAUCGAUGAAUGGAAGAGGGAAAUGAUCCUUACAGGUUGAUUUGUUCAGUUUCCUAUAAUCCAUGCACACUCUCCACCCGGUCACUGUCCUUGUGGGAAUCAGUUCGUUGUUCUCAUUGGACACAACUGUCAUCCCGCCCUUCUUGGGCACACACUAGAUUGGACUAACCCAAGGGCUAUCGGAGAUGGGGUAGAUAAUGCCCGCAUCUAGCAACUUAAUGAUCUCUUUCCGGACGACCUCUUUCAUAAUGGGAUUCAGCCGCCUCUGAUUCUCUAUAGAUGGCUUUGAGCCUUCCUCGAGAAGAAUUUUGUGCAUGCAUAGAGUCGGGCUGAUCCCUUUUAUAUCAGCAAUAGACCACCCCAAGGCUGUUUUGUACCUCUUGAGCACAAGCAACAACUUUUCUUCCUGACAUUUUGUUAGAGAAGCAGAAAUUAUCACAGGUAAUGAAGAUGAAUUUCCUAAAUAAGCAUACCUCAGGUGAGCAGGCAAGGGUUUAAGCUCAAGGACAGGAGGCUCGAUGAUUGACGGCUGAGCCUUGAAAGUAGAUGCCUCAUUAUCAUUCAAAGACUUGAACUGGCGGUGGAAUUGCUUUGAUCUUUGAGGUUCAUCGAGCCACAUGGCACAUUCCACAUGUGAUGGUUCUUCCGUAGUACUAGCCCCAGUCAAAGUAGCUUCCAAAGGGUCUUGAAUGCAAGUUUCUGAGAAUACCCCCUUUACUGAAUUAUCAAUUGUAUUUAUCUGGAAGCAAUCCUCAGGUGUAUUAGGAUACUUCAUUGAUCGGAAGACAUUGAAAGUCACUUCCUGAUCAUUAACUCUCAUUGUCAGCUCUCCUUUUUGGACAUCAAUCAAGGUCCUCCCAGUUGCCAAGAACGACCUUCCCAAUAUUAUCGGGACCUCCCUAUCCUCCUCAAAAUCAAGGACUAUGAAAUCCGCCGGGAAUAUGAACUUGUCCACCUUCACUAACACAUCCUCCACAAUUCCCUUCGGGUAUGUCAGAGAUCUGUCGGCCAAUUGAAGGGUGACACUUGUCGGCUUGGCUUCAUUGAGGCCCAACUUUUUAUAAAUGGAGAGGGGCAUCAAGUUGAUGCUAGCCCCUAAAUCACAUAGAGCCUUCCUAAUAAACUGGUCUCCAAUGGUGCACGGGAUUGUAAAACUUCCCGGAUCCUUUAGCUUCAGCGGAAGCUUGUUUUGAAGGAUGGCAAUACACUCUUCUGUCAGUGCCACCGUCUCAUAGUCCCCAUUUUUCGUUUCUUGGAUAGAAUGUCCUUCAUGAACUUGACGUAACUGGGCAUUCCCUCCAAUGCCUCUGCAGAUGGGAUGUUUAUGUGCAGUCUUUUGAACACCUCCAAGAAUUUGGAAAACUGCUUAUCCAGUUUCUGUUUCUGCACCCGCUGGGGGAAAGGCAACUGAGGGAGAGGCUGGUUGACCAAAGUCGUUGGAGGAGAUGGUGUUGGAGGUCUAUCUUGACCACUUUCUUCACCCCCACUUGUCUCAGCACUCUCCUUCACAGGAGGUUCCUCAUCUAGCACUACCUCAACUUCCCCAGGAAUACCCUCUCCACUUUGCACUUUAGUGGUUCUCCCACUUCUAAGGGUUACUGCUUUACACUGCUCCUUGCCUUCCCGUUUCGGGUUGACAUCAGUGUCACUAGGCAAUGCGCCUGGUGGGCGACUGUUUAAAGCAUUAGCCAGUUGUCCCAUCUGUACCUCAAGAUUUCGAAUGGAAGCUUCUUGAUUGUUACUUCGAGUUUCAUUCUGGGCUAUGUACCUUGACAGGAGAUCUUCUAAACUUGGCUUUUUCUCUUGUUGAGGAGGUGGUUGGUGGAAUUGAUUGUGAGUGUUCUGAUGCUGUGGGGUGAACUGAUUCUGAGAUGGGAAACCAGGAGGGUUAGCAUAAUUCGGCCUGGUAGAUGAAGGUUGUGGUUGGUUGGGGUUGUUACUGUUGUUGUUGUUGUUGUUGUUGUUGUUGUUGCCCCAUGAGAAGUUUGGAUGAUUUCUUAGGCCAGGGUGAUAGUGUGGGAAGAUUUGUAUUUUGUUGCCGCCCGUAGUUGGACACAAAUUGAACUGACUCAGGGCUUAUCGCACACUGAUCAGUAGGGUGGCUCCCUUGACAUAAUUCACAUUGCAUCCCCACACUUUGCACACUCUGAACUGUUGUAGGUCCCAUGGUAUCUAGCUUUUUUGUUAGCACUGCUACCUGAGCUGCUAACGAAGUGAAAAAGUCAACUUCAUAGACCCCUGCUACCUUCCUCGGGGCUUGCCUAUCAUUUGGCCAUUGGUAAUUAUUGGCCGCCAUUGUUUCCACCAGCUCGUAACCCGCCGUGUGAUGUUUGGCCAUGAAUGCCCCUCCAGACGCGGCAUCAAUACUCGAUCGAGUUGAUCCAGAUAACCCAUUAUUCUGGAUGGGUAACCAUUCUGGCAAUCCAUGGUGCGGGCAUUUCCUUAAAAGAUCCUUAAAACGCUCCCACAAGUCGUAUAAGGAUUCAGAUUCGAACUGAACAAAGGAUGUGAUAUCAUGCCUGAGCCUGGCUGUUUUGGCGGGCGGGAAAAACUUCGCCACAAAUUUCUGUGCCAUGUCAGCCCACGUGGUAAUGGAGCCUGGCGGUAAUGAAUGAAGCCAGCUCUUGGCCUUGUCCCUUAAUGUAAAUGGAAAUAACCGGAGUCUGAUGGCAUCGUAUGAAACUCCGUUGCAUUUAAAUGUGUCACAGAUCUCCACAAAAUUAAUCAAGUGAUCGUUGGGAUCAUCAUUCGGUAGUCCCCCAAACUGGAUGUUGGUGCACAUUUGAAUGGUUCCCGGCUUGAUCUCGAAAUUAUUAGCUUGGAUGGCGGGCCUUAGAAUGCUCGCCUGGAGAUCGUCAAUUCGAGGCAUAGCAUACUCCCUCAGAGAUUUCUGAAUUUCUUCAGCCAUUAUGAUAGGAGCAGGUGGUUCCCUCGAUUCUUCUCUCCUCAGUCGUCUGUAUGUCCUUAGAUUCUUGUCAACCUCGGGAUCAAGAGGAGUUAUGUUCCGACCCUUCCGAGGUGGCAUAAACGGAGAAGACUACCUGAAAAGAGAAUUAAACAGAAAAAUCAGUUUAAAGUAAGAUCGUAAUGACUUAGUUUUAAUAUUGAGAAAUGAUUAAUACUAAGUCCCCGGCAACGACGCCAAAAACUUGUUGGUCGAUUCAGCUAUUGCCAAAUCGCGCGCAAGCAUACGCGGUCCACAAGUAAUAUAAGUAAGUAAAGUGUCGAAACCAUGAGGACAAAGUCUCAAACGAAAACAAAUACUAAGGUAGAGUCGUCACUAAACAAGUAAUUAAGAAAGAUGGUUAAGCUAUAUGAUUAUAAAUGAAAAUAACGAGAGAAAUGGUUGUGCUAAGAAGUCAAGAUAGGAUUACAACUCCCCUAAUGCGUCACUUAAUCUCCUAACUCUCCAUAUUACAAGCAAAUCAAGGAAUGGCCAACCGAAAGAAGUAAUUACGCAAAAGCUUCUGUCGAAGGUCAAAUGCACAUCCCUAACCGGCUAAAACACAAUAUGUCUAUUGGUGACAAUAACUCGAUCGAGGUCAUUAAGCUAAGUCUCAAGGUCACACAAGGCACAUAGAGAUAUGUCUAUCCCAUGAGCAUAUUAUACACACAUUCCAUAGGCAUGGUUAUAACAGAUGUUGCCGUAUUUAAAAGCUAGAUAAUAACAUUCAUUUGUCAAUGUCCAUUAUUAUCAAUACCAAAAACUCUGUCAAGCAAUCAGUCAUUAAAAACUAAAUACAACAACCCAUUCCAAAAUGAUUCAUUAUAUAUAAUAGGAGAGAAAGUUGAUCAAGCUAAACAAAAGGUUACAUUGCAAUCCUAAAGAUGGAGUUAGUUCAUAACUAUGGUACUAACACACAUAUUCAAUACAUUCACCAUAAUCAGUAGUACACAAAUAAAUGGGAGAUUUGGAAUAAGAAAACUCCUGUUAGGAAAUGUUAUGUCUCCAAAUCUUCUCUUCACUGUGCAAAAGCUGAGCCAAGGUCAGAUGCAAUAACUUUCUUCCUUAAAGCACAACUUCUUUCUCUUCUAAUCUAAGCUGCUGAGAGUUACUAUUGGAUAUCUCUGAUAUUCGAUAUUGAAUGCAACGGCUUCCCUUUGUAUUUAUGACUCUGCUCUUUUUCUAGGUCAUUAAAGACGCUACACUGUUUGGACACCGGAGGCAGCACUGCGGCGCGAACGUAAGUAUCUCAAUCGGCGUCGGGGCGCGAAAGUCAGCGAUGGGGCGCCAUCUGUGGCGCUGGGGCGCUGGCAUGGCGCUAGGCUGGGGCGCUGGGGUGCCGACCUUAGCUGUCGGGCAGCGCCGAGUUGCAGAAUGCUCAACAACAUUGGCGCCGGGGCGCGAGGCAUUGGCGUCGGGGCGCCGAGUGUGGUGCUGGAGCUCGAACUCUAAGAGAGACAUUGGCGCUGCGGCGCCACACAGAGAGAAUAACCUGAAAUACCAGAAACCAGCUCCAAAGCAUACUUAGACAUAAUAACAAUCAAAAUAUACUAAAAACUAACUAAGAGACUGAAAAUAGACACUAACUUAAGCCACAAAGGAACUGAUUCGUAGGUAUAAAACCCACUCAUCACUUGUCCUGAGCACUUUGACAAUCUCGGCGGUCUGUUGUACCAAUUCUGGCCCUAGUAGUUGACGUUCACCAACUUCAUCCCAGCCUAAUGGGGUUCUGCACUUUCUGUCGUACAACGCUUCGUAAGGCGACAUGCCAAUACUUGCGUGGUAACUGUUAUUGUAAGCGAAUUCCACCAACGACAGAUGAUCAUCCCAAUUUCCUUUAAAGUCCAUUAUACAAGCUCUUAACAUAUCCUCCAAUGUCUGGAUGGUUCUUUCACUGUGCCCGUUCAUCUGAGGAUGAUAAGCCGUACUCAUUCUUAACUGUGUUCCCAAGCAUUCCUGUAGUCACUUCCAGAAGUUCGAUGUGAAACGCGGAUCUCGAUCAGAGACUAUAGACAUUGGAACACCGUGCCUUGAAACAAUUUCCUUCACAUACAAUUUCGCCAACUGAUCCAAGUUAAAUCUGAUCUUGAUCGGUAAGAAGUGUGUUGAUUUCGUCAAUUGGUCCACGAUAACUUAUGCUGCAUCAAAACCUUUCUGAGUCGUUGGAAGACCUACCACAAAAUCCAUUGUGAUAUGUUCCCACUUCUAUUCUGAGAUUUCUAACGGUUGCAACAACCCACUCGGCCUUUGAUCUUCUGCUUUAACUUUCUGACAUGUUAAACACUUGGUCACACAAUCAACGUCUCUCUUCAUAUUCGGCCACCAGAAAUGCUGUCAGAGAUCCUGGUACAUCUUUGUACUCCCCGGGUGAAUCGAAUAUCGUGAACUAUGAGCCUCGCUCAAAAUUUCCUCCUUUACUUCUGAUACUUGUGGAACCCAAAUUCUUUUCUCGAAUCUCAAUAACCCUUCCGUAUCGACUUUGAAUUUCACUUCAUCACCUUCAGAUAUUCUUUUCCUUAUCUUUUCACAUUCCUCAUCAUGAAGUUGUGCUUCCUUAACUUUAUCCAUCAAAGUUGGACCGGCUCCCAAUUGAAACAAUUUUUCGUCCGACUCCUUAGGGUAUUUCACCUCCAACUCUAGUUUCGCCAUUGCUGAAAUUAGCUCCUCCUAAGCGGUUAACAUAAACAGCUUCUCUCUACCCUUUCUGCUUAAAGCAUUGGCAACUACAUUCGCUUUACCCGGAUGGUAUAAAAUCUCACAAUCAUAAUCCUUUAUUAACUCCAACCAUCUCCUCUGACGCGUGUUCAAAUCCUUAUGUGAAAAUAUAUUUUAGACUCUUAUGGUCGGUAUAUAUUUCACACUUCUCCCCGUAGAGAUAAUGUCUCCAUAUCUUCAAAGCAAACACCACUGCAGCCCAUUCUAAAUCAUGUGUAGGAUACCCCUUCUCAUAAUCCCUCAAUCGUCGUGACGCAUACGCAAUGACCUUGUCGUUCUACAUAAGCACACAACCUAGUCCCUUAUGCGAUGCAUCACUAUACACUACAAAAAUUCUUGUGCUAUCCGGAAGAGUUCACAGGUGCCGUACUCAACCUCUUCUUCAGCUCUUGGAAAUUUUCCUCACACUUUUCCGUCCAAACGAACUUUACCGAUUUCCUAGUCAAAUUCGUAAGCGGAGUCGCGAUUUUGGAAAAAUCUUGAAUAAAUCUUCUGUAAUAACUUGCCAGUCCUAGAAAACUCCUUACUUCCGACGGUGUCUUUGGCUGAUCCCAGUUCAUCACAGCUUCAACUUUCGAUGGAUUUACCGAAAUCCUGUCCUUGUCAAUCACAUGCCCAAGAAAUUGCACUCGCUCUAUCCAGAAUUCACAUUGCGAAAACAUGACGUACAUCUUCUCAAUGCCUCUAAUGUCACUUUCAAAUGUUCGACAUGCUCCUCCUUAGUCUUAGAAUAUACCAGAAUAUCGUCGAUGAACACCACCACGAAUUUAUCUAAAAAUGGUUUAAACACUGUUCAUUAGGUCCAUAAAUGCUGCAGGAGCAUUCGUUACACCAAAUGACAUCACCAGGAACUCGUAAUGACCAUAACGAGUUCUGAACAUUGUCUUCAGUACAUCUUCUUUCCUCACCUUCAACAAAUGGUACCCACUUCUCAAGUCUAUCUUUGAGAAAUACCUAGCUCCUUUCAACUGGUCAAACAGGUCGUCAAUCAUUGGCAAUGGAUACUUAUUCUUAAUUGUGACAUUGUUUAAUUCUCUGUAAUCAAUGCAAAGUCGCAUCGACCCAUCCUUCUUCUUGACAAACAAUACCGGUGCUCCACACGGUGAUACGCUCGGUUGAAUAUAUUUCUUGUCUAACAGUUCUUGUAGUUGCACCAUCAAUUCUUUCAUCUCCACCGGAGUCAUGCGAUACGGGGCCUUCGAUAUUGGGGCAGUUCCUGGCACCAAGUCGAUCACAAAUUCUACUUUCCUGUCUGGCGCAAGUCAUGACAAGUCAUCUGGAAAUACGUCUCCAAAGUCUCUAACGACUGGUAUCUCCUCUAAUUUCGGAUUCUCCUUUCGAGUAUCGACUAUGUAGGCUAAAUAUCCUACACAUCCUUGUCUCAACAACUUUCUGGCAUGCAUCAUCGUCAGACAACUCGCUUGUCUAGGCGACUUACUGCCAUAAAAUAUAACCUUUGAUGGAGUCAUAAUGUUUACACACUUCCUUUGGCAAUCAAUUAUUGCCCCAUAAUUGAAUAGUCAAUCCAUUCCCAGAAUGACGUCAAAUUCCCCAAGUUUAAUCGGAAUUAGAUCUACCAUCAUUUCGUGACCCUUAAUGUCCACCCUACAGUUCAUAUGUACAAACCUAACACGAAUUACUUCCCUAUUUGCAAUCUCUAUGUUCAAAGGGUAUUCUAAUAUUCCUCUUUAGGCAAAUUCAAAUUCUUAGCAAAAUCGUCGAAUAUAAAUGAACAAGUAGCACCCGAAUCAAAUAAUACGUAAGCAUUAACAUUAUUGAUCGGAAUGAUACCUGACACCACAUCUCGGGACUGCACAACAUCCUGCACAGUCAUGUUGAAAGUUCUGGCGGUGGGUCGGUUUGGCGGCGACGGUCCAGUGAUAGUCAGAGUGCUACCACCGCUGUUUCCCUUACUUCCACCCGCUCUUGCUCCUCCUGCUGCCUUCUUGGGACAAUCCCUAGCCAAAUGAUCCCUCGACCCGUAAGUAAAACAAGCCCCCUUUUUAGGGUUAGGGCAAUUUGGCUCUAUGUGGCCUUCUUUAUCACAAUUGUAGCAAACCCUCUUUCCCUUCAUGCAUACCCCUAGGUGAUUCUUCCCGCAAAUAAGACAAGCCCACACCUUCUUCUUCUGACUUCCUUGCUGAUUCCCAGUAGACAUAUUAUCAUUCCACUUCCUCUUCUGACUAUGACCGCCACCACUAGCUUUGUUGUUCUCACUUUCAUUCUUCUUCUUCUGCUCUUGAUUAUACCUGGUCAGAGCAUUGCUUCCACCUUCUACAAUAAUUGCCUUCUCCAAUACUCCCGCAAAAGUGUUCAAUUGGAACAUUGACACCUUGCUAUACAAUCACGACUUCAAUCCUUGUUUAAUCCUCCUAGCUUUCCUCUGAUCCGUAUUCACUUGAUAAGUUGCGAACCUAGCCAACUCGUUGAAUUUCGCGGCAUAUUCUUCCACCGUCAUGUUUCCUUGCUUCAAUUCCAAAAACUGAACCUCCAUCUGGUUCUGAGAGCUCGUUGGGAAACACAUCUCAAAGAACAUCUCCUUGAACCUAUCCCAUGCGAUCACACCUUGUCCUCCUCUAACCACCAGUAGCUGGCCUCUGACUUCAGCAUAAACGUUGCAAAGGCGGUCUUCUGGUCGUCGUUGACCCUUGCAACGUCAAACACCUUCUCCAUUUCCAUAAUCCAGGUCUGAGCUUCGACCGGAUUCAUGGAUCCCCUAAACUCAGGCGGUCCUACCGCCUUGAAAUCCUUAAAUGAGGUAGCUUGAGCUUGCGGUUGAUUCGCAAGUGCUCUCGUUAAUAGGUUUACCAACCGCUGAACAGGAUUGGCGUUGGCAUUGUCGUUGUUGUUGUUAAUGUUCGUGGAUCCUUCCUGAGCUUGUUGACGUGUUGGGCGUCUUCUUGGCGGCAUUUUCUGUUUAAGAUAUACACUUAUUAGAUCAUUACUCAAUCUCCUAAGUAUUUAAGACUUAACUUAAACAUUUUAAGAUUAUUACUUAACACAUAACAUCUUGAAUAAACAUUGAUAUUUUAUUCAUUAAUAACUUUUAAAACAUGGAAAGAUAGCAUCACUGCUAUUUACAUCAACUAUCCCGAGAUAAAGAAUCUUCAGGAUUAAAUCAUCAUAUUUCAUUGCUUAUAUUCACAUUGGAAUUUACAUCAUUAAUUACCAUAGAUAUUCACAUAACUCAUACUGUUCCUAUCACGGCCUACUAAGACGUCGAACAUCUUCUCUGCGCUCUUCUUCCAUGAUACGAAACAUCGUCCUACGAUCCAGGUAAGUCCUCGAACUGGACUGGAUAGUACAUAACUCGGUCCUGAGCUUUGUUCAUCGCAGUGUGGAAUGCACAAUCCAUCUCCCCCAUCUUGGCCUUCUUUGCCUGCACCUCUUCCUCGGCUACAUCUGCACGCUGGGAAGCCUCCUCAUAAGCAUCUUCAGCCCUUGCUCUCUUGGCGGACUCUUCUUUCAGAUCAUCUUUCAGCUUCGCAACCUCUGCCAUCAGUUGCUCAUUGUCACCCUCUAAGUGACUAAUUUCCACUCCACAUUUCCAAGACUUACAUCAAGACCUCAGAUUUCCUCAUUUUUCUGACCUAUAGUGGUCUGACGUUCAUCUGCCAGCUCCUCCAAUUCUCUGACUCUAUCCUGAAGCUCAAUGUUACGGUCACACACCUCGUCAUACAUUUGAGCUGCAAUAGAGUUCGGUGGGAACUCAUCUUCCUCCUCUUCCUCCUCAGGGUCAGUCUCAGGUUCAUGCUCCUGACCCACAAUAGUGAUCAAUGGAGAUGGCUCUCUCUGUACCAACUGCUCCCGGACAACAUGAAUGUCUCAGGGCUCCUCCUCUCUAGGUACUCGGGAUUCCUCCUCCCCAGCCCGACUAGAUCCUCCAACCUCAGAAAUCCUGACAACAAAGUUUUAAGUUUUAGUUACUAAUCGAUACUCGUGAGCACAUAAGUAUAUCACUUAAGCACAUAAAGUCUUUUAAGAAAUUCAUUUCUUAGAACUCGAUAAGAGUUUAUCACCACUAUGUUCUCAAUCUCCUAUAAGGCUACUACUUAAGGUUNNNNNNNNNNNNNNNNNNNNNNNNNNNNNNNNNNNNNNNNNNNNNNNNNNNNNNNNNNNNNNNNNNNNNNNNNNNNNNNNNNNNNNNNNNNNNNNNNNNNAAUGCGGAACAUCAUAAACAAAUAAGUCUUAAACAUCACGUAACAAGUCCUAACAUAAUCAUUCUCAAAUACUAAAUAAGUCUUCAUCAUUUACUUGCUUUGCCCUUGCCCUUACUUGUGGAUGGCUCAUCAACUUUCUCAAUCUUAGCUGCAAUGUUAUUAUGCAAGAGUGAGCAACAAUUGCCCACAAGUUUAACAAUAGUAAUAAUAAUAACAUGCGAAUAAUCAAUGGAUACUGAACAAAAGAAAGCUUGGCUUUUGAAUCAAGAUUAGAACAAAAAUCAAAAGUACAUCUGAGGGUCACAAGACCAUGAACUAUGUCCUAGGUUAUCAAGUAUUUCUACUUUAAACCUUUAACAGUUGUAAGACUAUAUGAACCUUGCUUCUCGUACUUAGGGGGAUCAGUACCAUGUAUGUGCACAACAUAUUAACGCUAUCACGUAAUAUAAUCCCCCAUAACAGGGUUGUUCAUCUCAGCUUUGACGUUUGAGUCCGCACCAAAGGAAGUUUGGUUUGGAUUAGCUUCAAGGGUAAUUUAGAGUUCAAUAAUCAUCAACUAAGGAUUAGUUGAAUCGAUAAGGAAUCACUAUCCAUCCAAGGUUUCAAUGCAAUAUCGAAAUCAAUAAUCAAAUCAAAGAUUGAAUCUCAACUCUAUAUAAUUGACUGAAAAGAUUGGUCUCGUUCGUCACACUACUAGAAUCCGUUAUAUUUGUAACAAGCUGGGCAUGAUUGAUAUACAUGCUCCAACUUGUGGGAAGUGUUAGAUUAAUCUAGAUGAUUCUAGGAUUCUAUGAUUGAUUUGAUUAGGAGUGAUUAGUGGUAGGAUUAUUCUAGAAGCGUGGUUAGUGGUAAUCACUUAUCAUUAUGAUUUACUUUUCAUAUUUAGCUUCGACACUUGGCCUAUAUAAAAGCUCUCUAUUGUACACAUUAUGAUAUGGAAUAAUAUUGAUUUUUAUGGAUAAAUUCUAUUAAAAAAAUGUUGUUGAUGUUGUUCUGUCAAAUGACUUGUCCUUUUCUUUUCUUUAUUUUUUUUUUAAAAAAAUAACUAAAAUUUAAUGACCAGGCCUUUGACAGAGAAGAGAAAGAACUAACAUAUGUGCUGUAAUGAGCAGUACUUAAUAGUAAAUUUAUCUGUUCUUAUUGUUCUUUUUUUUUUCUUGAUAAAUUCUCAAGUAUAUUGACAUUUAUCCACAAGUUCCUGCAUUAUAGUUUCAGUAAUCACCUAUCUUGCCACAGAAAAUUUAAACUGUUGUUUGUAUUUUACCUUUCAUCAGCUAUACAGAAAAAAGGGCAUAAUGAUCCAUGAAGAAUGAAUUUUUAAGCCUACUUUUAAUUGCAAUUGGUUAAAUGAUUAAGGAUUAUCUAUUUCUUUAUUGUAAACUCUAUUUGUUUAUCUAGUAUAUUGGAGUAUUGGACUUAGAUGUUGGGCUGGCCAGCUAAAGAAAGUAUAUUCUGUCAAUGUAUUUUGUCAAUCAUUCAAUUUAGACAUUCUUUUGCUUCUGAAAAUAUUUUGUUCUUUGAUUUUUGUGUGUAUUUAAAUAAUCACGUAUAUUGUCUUUCAAAAAUCACAUGUUCAUCCCAUAUAGGGAACGAGUUUUCUAAUAUAUUGUAUAAUUCCUUAAUCCAUCGAAAUAGUUUCAGAAGAAGUCUGCAAUUGCUUGUGCGUAAAUUUCUUGCAAUUGCUAGGUUUCGAUUUGCCCACCCUCUGAGCUUGCAUUACUCAGUUGUUAGUUUCAAGAUUUUUUUAUAAUAAGUUAGUUUCAAGAUUUUAUUGGACUUCUAUUUCUCUAUCUCUGACAUAUUAAUUCAUCUACAGACCAGGAUUAAGGUCUACUAUAACAGGCUUUCUUCCAAGUGUCAUUCUCAGUGGAUGUAUAUACGUUGUUCCGUUUGCCAUGAUUGCAAUGGCUAGACUAGCAGGUUAUGUAUCGAGGAGUAGAAAGGAUAUAAAGGCUUGCAACAUGGUCUUCUAUUUUUUAGUGGGAAAUGUAUUCUUCUUAAGCUUAUUAUCAGGUUCUUUACUUGAUCAAAUUGGACAGUCGUUCAGCCAUCCCAAAAAUAUUCCUGGUCAUCUUGCAGGCGCGGUUUCUGCUCAAGUAAGUUUGAUCCAGCUCUUAAUCAGGCCUUUUACAUGUUAUUGCUUGUAUUGCACCUCUGGUUUCUAGAAGAUUUCAUCUAAAUGGUCAUUAAUAUGAGUAGCUAGCAUGUUAUCUACAGUACAUCAGAUUGCAUCUCUAGUUUAUUCUAUACCAGGGUUUAAUCUCGAAAUUUCCCUUCUGUUAGUUCCUGUGUGGGUGGACUUCUUGUCCCCCCUACUUCUUUUGUUCCUCUCCUUUUCUAUUAAUAAAAUUUCUUCAGUUACCUUAAAAAAAUAAAACUAAAUAUAUGAUAACCUUCCUGAUAAUUUUACAUUGUAACAUUAUAAUUUAGUUACUGGCUUAUGAAUCUGUGUUAUCUAUUCCAGGCAGACUUCUUUAUGACAUAUAUUCUGACAAGUGGACUGUCGGGAUUUUCUCUGGAAGUUCUUCAGCCUGGGUUACUUAUCUGGAAUUAUAUAAAGUUGCAUACAUUUGGCCGUGGAAAAAAGAAAAAUCCUUAUCUCUACUCACUGCCUUAUUACAGAAUUAUUCCUUUUAUUUGUCUCUUUAUACUGAUUGGCAUGGUAUAUGCAGUCGUCGCACCAUUGCUGCUCCCAUUUCUAAUUGGUUAUUUCCUUUUAGGCUAUGUUGUGUUUAUUAACCAGGUAAGAAUCCUACAAUUUUGAUUUUUCUUACUUAAAGUCUCUGUAUCUUAUUCUCAUCAUGUAAAUUCUGCUUCUCUUGAUUCUUUUUUUAUUUUUUAUAUCCCACAUGGCACUUUGAAACAAUGAUAAGAAUCCAUUAAUGCAGUAUUAAUUAAGCCAGAAUAUGGGUUUGGAGUGAAAUAUAAGGAGGAAUGUAAGUAUAUAUGUUUGCAUUUGGUAUUUUAUCUUCAAGUUUCGAUUUAAUCGUCAUUAAUGGUUCUUGUUAGCUUCCAUCAAUAAGUAAAGCAAAAAGGAGCUGAAUUGAUUGCUCUUUGAGCUAACGCGUUAGUUUGAUGCCAUCAUUAGCAAAAGAAUGUAUGCAGUGUGUGUUGCUGCAAGAUUGUCUCAGUGAGGACUAUGCAAGUGGAUAACAGGAAUACCAAGGUCUUGAAAUAAAUGUGACGGCCAUGACAUUUCUGAAUAUACUGACCCUAAAGCUUUAUAUUAAGAAAUGCUAGAAUGGGAGACGAAGAAAUCAUUCUAACCAGUAUGCCCAGUUAGAUGAAAUGAUUGAUUAGUGUGAUGGGAAUUUCAUAAUGGUGGGACUCUUUUAGUCAAAGAAAGCAUUCUCUUAACAGUUGUAAGAUGUUAAAAAGUGGGUGCAUACAAAAGAAUAAACUUGGUUUACAGAAUCAUUCGAGUCUAUACUGAAGUAGAAAGAACUCCAGGAAAUUGUAGGUGCCUACUCUGAUUGAAGAAAGAAGAAUGUGAAGUAUUAGUUGAUUUAGAACCAGAUGUGAAAGGAGGGUAACAUACUAUGUAGCUAGCCUACCAUUUUGCUGCAAUAAAUUAGCAGAGUAAAGGUCAUCUCUUUUAGAUUUAAUGCCUUAGUGGAACGAAGAUUGAGCAAGUUUAUCAUGGAUUUUUCUUUCAAAGUGUGUUAGAUGUUGAUUUUAAAGGGGUGUAUAAUCACCAAUAUAGAUCAUAUUGGUACAAAACAAUUGACUUUGAAAUGUGAGAUGAUGGUAUUUGUGAAGGGAAAGCAAAAGGAACAUGAAAUUUUCAGUUUCAGUGUAGACUUUCGUUUGAAGUAAGACAGAACUAAAUAAUCCCAUGGAGUUUGAUAUUAGCUUGAUUUGAGCAUUUUACAAACACAUGAUAUGCGUUUUUGGUCCCUCCCCACUAUAGUUUAGGCUUUUAGAGCAGUUGGUAACUAUUAGAGCUCUGGGUAUGCAAGAGAUCUAAGUUUUCAAGUUCCUGGGUUCAAGGCUGAUAGGGAUAGAUCCAUGAAAAGACAAUUAUCGCGGAUGAUUUGCUAUUUACUCCCUUCAUCCCUUAAUAUAUUUUAUUUUAGAUGAUUUCAUUUUUAUGUAAUUAUUUGUCGUUUUAUAUAAUUGAAGAGAAUUAACUACAUCUUUACAAAAUUACUCUCAUGAGAAAAUAUUAAGGAUAAGAGAAUAUAAGAUAAUUAUGAUAAUUAUGAGAAUUUAAAGAUAUUAUAGAGAAUUGAUAUUAUAUUUAAUACUUCCUCCGUCUCGGUAGACUUUUCACGCAUAUUAAAAAGAGGAAUAAAAUGACAAAAUUGUCUAUAAUAAUGUCAUUAAAUAUGGAAAAAGAAUUAGAAUGAGAAAAAUAUGAGAUAUUUAAUGCUACGAGCAUAAUAGGAAAAAAUGUGUAAAAAUUUAAUUAUUAAAGAAAAGUGAACAUUUAACAUAGGACAAUCUAAAAUAGUAAUAAGAACUUUUAUCCGGGAAUAUUAUACAAUCAUUUCUUUAAUUUUUGUGCACAACUCUAAAAUUACCCGGACCAUCCAUUGUUGAAGCCGACCUAUCAGAUCGUCCACCCCAAAAUUGUGACCCACAUCGUGACUUAAAUAUCGCGACCCAAACAUUCCUCCAAAGCCCAACUACCAACACACCAAUCAUUGCAGUCGAAUCCCAAAUCGCUAUUGGGAAAGGAAACAGAAAAAAAAGAAAAAGAAAGGGCCGACAGAGAUUGUGUUGUUGCCGUCGUCAGAAAAGCACUGCCAUCGUCACUACUCGUUGAUCCUUCUGCCACCGUCGCUACUCGCUGCAUCUCUUCAUCCUCUGCGUAUGCGUGUUUUGGAGAAUAAGGGAGAUAAUCCGUAACCCUUACUUUCCUAAAGUAAUAAAUCCUUGCACAAUUACAUUUUAAUAUCCUAAACUUUCGCUUUCCAUUUAAUAUUGUCUCACACUAUUAGUUUUCAUCUUUUCACCCCUGCUUUUUGCAUAAAAAGCUCUAAACUUUUAACCUUAGCACUUUUCACCCCGUCUCAUACUUUCUGAUCAGUUAGGUCCAAAAAAAAAAGUAAAAAUUUCAUAUUUGAAUAUUAGGAUUUUAAAUACUUAAUCACUU
This 17676-nucleotide long non-coding RNA is filed under the name Panax ginseng (ginseng). RNAcentral describes it as "long non-coding RNA (PGIN_LNC011567)". The stretch from base 5180 to 5286 matches the Rfam family "Plant small nucleolar RNA R71". Lineage: Eukaryota; Viridiplantae; Streptophyta; Magnoliopsida; Apiales; Araliaceae. The record is from RNAcentral.